GCGGCGUGCUUAACACAUGCAAGUCGAACGAUGAAGGGAGCUUGCUCCUGGAUUAGUGGCGAACGGGUGAGUAACACGUGAGUAACCUGCCCUUGACUCUGGGAUAAGCCUGGGAAACUGGGUCUAAUACCGGAUAUGACCUUCCAUCGCAUGGUGGUUGGUGGAAAGCUUUUGUGGUUUUGGAUGGACUCGCGGCCUAUCAGCUUGUUGGUGGGGUAAUGGCCUACCAAGGCGACGACGGGUAGCCGGCCUGAGAGGGUGACCGGCCACACUGGGACUGAGACACGGCCCAGACUCCUACGGGAGGCAGCAGUGGGGAAUAUUGCACAAUGGGCGCAAGCCUGAUGCAGCGACGCCGCGUGAGGGAUGACGGCCUUCGGGUUGUAAACCUCUUUCAGUAGGGAAGAAGCCGCAAGGUGACGGUACCUGCAGAAGAAGCGCCGGCUAACUACGUGCCAGCAGCCGCGGUAAUACGUAGGGCGCAAGCGUUAUCCGGAAUUAUUGGGCGUAAAGAGCUCGUAGGCGGUUUGUCGCGUCUGCCGUGAAAGUCCGGGGCUCAACUCCGGAUCUGCGGUGGGUACGGGCAGACUAGAGUGAUGUAGGGGAGACUGGAAUUCCUGGUGUAGCGGUGAAAUGCGCAGAUAUCAGGAGGAACACCGAUGGCGAAGGCAGGUCUCUGGGCAUUAACUGACGCUGAGGAGCGAAAGCAUGGGGAGCGAACAGGAUUAGAUACCCUGGUAGUCCAUGCCGUAAACGUUGGGCACUAGGUGUGGGGGACAUUCCACGUUUUCCGCGCCGUAGCUAACGCAUUAAGUGCCCCGCCUGGGGAGUACGGCCGCAAGGCUAAAACUCAAAGGAAUUGAC
Molecule: ribosomal RNA, 864 nt
Filed under: Arthrobacter pokkalii
Lineage: Bacteria; Bacillati; Actinomycetota; Actinomycetes; Micrococcales; Micrococcaceae
Description: bacterial SSU rRNA
Rfam family: Bacterial small subunit ribosomal RNA
Source: RNAcentral